Molecule: transfer RNA, 84 nt
Filed under: Kordia aestuariivivens
Lineage: Bacteria; Pseudomonadati; Bacteroidota; Flavobacteriia; Flavobacteriales; Flavobacteriaceae
Description: Kordia sp. YSTF-M3 tRNA-Tyr
Rfam family: tRNA
About the family: Transfer RNA (tRNA) molecules are approximately 80 nucleotides in length. Their secondary structure includes four short double-helical elements and three loops (D, anti-codon, and T loops). Further hydrogen bonds mediate the characteristic L-shaped molecular structure. tRNAs have two regions of fundamental functional importance: the anti-codon, which is responsible for specific mRNA codon recognition, and the 3' end, to which the tRNAs corresponding amino acid is attached (by aminoacyl-tRNA synthetases). tRNAs cope with the degeneracy of the genetic code in two manners: having more than one tRNA (with a specific anti-codon) for a particular amino acid; and 'wobble' base-pairing, i.e. permitting non-standard base-pairing at the 3rd anti-codon position.
Source: RNAcentral
GGGAAUUCGUCGGAGUUGGAGAGCCGAAGCAGACUGUAAAUCUGUUGUGUAAUAACUGAGUAGGUUCGAAUCCUACAAUUCCCA